This 1509-nucleotide ribosomal RNA is filed under the name Uronema marinum. Its description in RNAcentral is "SSU rRNA". It matches the Rfam family "Bacterial small subunit ribosomal RNA". The record is from RNAcentral. Lineage: Eukaryota; Ciliophora; Oligohymenophorea; Philasterida; Uronematidae.
AUUAUAAUUUAAUUUAUUUAAAAAUAAUUAAUAUAUUUUUAUAGGUUGUAAACAAUUUUUUAAUAUGAGUUUGAUCCUAGCUUAGGAUUAACGCUAAUUAAACGCAUGACACAUGCAAGUUAUAUAUAAAUUAAUAAGUAUGACUAAUUAAUUUAUAUAGCGUCAAGGUGAGUAAUAUAUUAUAUAUACUUAUUACUUAUUGUAAAUCAAUAGUAAUUUAUAUAAAAAUUAAUUAGUAAUAAAUUAUAUAAUAUAAAAUUAAGUAUUGAAUAGUUGUUAACUAUUUAGCUUAUGAUUUUUAGUUAGGUUGAGAGAUUUAUAAACCACAUAAGGGUAUGCAAACAACCCUAUCUAUUCGACAGCAGUGGGGAAUUUUGGACAAUGCAUUUAGAUGUGAUCCAGCGAAUUAAUGGAAAUGAAGAAAAUUUAAAAUUGUAAAGUUUGUGCGUAAGUUUAAAAUAUGUUUGAACUUAAAGAGAAGUCAUGGCCAAUACAUGUGCCAGCAGCCGCGGUAAUACAUGAGUGACUAGCGUUAUCCGUAAUAGCUGAGUGUAUAAAAUGUGUAGACAAUAAUAAAAAAUAAAAUAAAACUUUUAUUGUAUAUAAGUUAUUUAUUUUAUAUUUAUUUAUAAAAAAUUAUAAAAAAAUUUUUAAAAUUUAUAAUUUAGCGAUUAAAUGCAUAGAAUUUAUAUAUAUUUUCAAUAAUGAAAAUCUUAAAUUUUUUAUAAUUUUUGUUGAUACAUUAAAGUAUGGGUAUCUAAUAGGAUUUGGGACCCUAGUAGUCCAUACCUUAAAAUAUGAAUAUUUUAAUUUUUAGAAAUUAUAAGCUAACGCAAGAAUAUUCUACUUGGGGAGUACAAUCGCAAGAUUGAAACUUAACAGAAUUGGCGGGAAUUUGUUCGAACGGUGGAACAUGUGGUUUAAUGCGAUAAUCCACGUAAAAUCUUACCAAUAUUUAAAAUUAAAUAGUAAUAAAUUAAUAAUAUUAUAUAUUAUUUAUAUUUAAUUUCGGUAUUGCAUGGCUGUCGUCAGUUCGUGUUGUGAAAUGUGAAAUUAAGUUUUAUUUACGAACGCAACCUAGAGUAUAUUUUAAACUUUAAGUUUUUAAUAUAUUGUGUAUAUUAUUAUACAAAUGGUUUUAGCUGAAGUCAAGUCCUUAUGGUCUUUAUAUAUUGGGCUACACACGUGUUACAAUGGCAAAAACAAAAAGUAACAAAUACGUAAGUAAGAGUAAAUCUUAAAAAAUUGCCUUGGUUUGGAUUAUUUUAUGUAACUCUAAAAUAUGAAAUUGAAAUCGUUAGUAAUUAUAGGUUAGUAUACUAUAGUGAAUUAUAAGUCAAAUUUUGCACACACUGCCCAUCACGCUCGAAAAAUUUUAUAAAAUUUAAAAUAAAAUAAAAUAAAAAUUAAAAGGUUAAUUUAUUAGUUUUAUUUGUUGUAGUUUUAUAAGGUAAUUUGAGUGAAGUUGACACAAGGUACCAGUAGGGGAACCUGUUGGUGGAUUAUUUU